This 75-nucleotide small nucleolar RNA is filed under the name Drosophila mojavensis. RNAcentral's name for it is "snoRNA:GI25397". The record is from RNAcentral. Lineage: Eukaryota; Metazoa; Arthropoda; Insecta; Diptera; Drosophilidae.
CCAUGAUGUGCAAAAUUUAUUACCUACAUUAUUUGAACGUAGAGAAAAGCCGUGUAAACAAAACCGAACUGAGUG